RNAcentral lists this unclassified non-coding RNA (406 nucleotides) under Hevea brasiliensis (rubber tree). The record is from RNAcentral. Lineage: Eukaryota; Viridiplantae; Streptophyta; Magnoliopsida; Malpighiales; Euphorbiaceae.
UGGGAUUAAGGCUUAGUUAUUGUUAUAGCUGUUAUAUACUAACUCAACACAUAUCACAAAUGAAAAAGAAUCCAAAUUCAAACCAAAAUAUAGUAAAAAAAUAUAAAUAAUUAACAAACCAAAUACAAAAAAUAAUAAUAAAUUUAAAUUCACAAUAUCAAAACUCAUAUAAUUCUACAAUCAAAUCUAGGCAGAAAAAUUCAAAUAAACAAAAAAAUUGAAUAAAAUAUAACUGCACAAUCAAAUCCAAAUACAAAUUCAAGUAUAAAUCUGGAAUGGGAGCAGAUCUAGAGAAACCAUGGUUUAAACAAAAAGCAGAGACAUGAAAACAAAUCCCUAACCAAACAAGCAAUUGAGUGACAUUGCUAUAGUAGGAGCACCAAGAUCCAAUUCACCCUCAUAUGAA